CGUUCGAAAAAGAUCACAAAGGUGGCCUGGCGGCAUUCGGAAACGCAUGCUAUUGUUCGUAUCAUAUUCGCAGUAAGUUUCGUGGUCAACGUAUCGCAAAAUAAAGCGAAUUUAACCCCGCAGCGUUUCGCAACGGAAGUGAUCAGCCACUGGGAAGCAUAUUGAAAAUCGGAGACAACGCGGAACAAUAUCCCAGAUUUUUACCAACGUAAAAUUCGUACAGGAUCCUGCAUUGGGUGUUUCGUGAUGAUGAUGCAGAACGAGUCCACUCCGGUCAUGACCUCGGAUGCGGGAUGUCAAACGACCGGCAGUCAAUUUUAUGUGGUAAAUUUUAAUGCUCCCGAUGCUUCGGUUGAGAAUGCCUUGCCAGAUUCGGACUGUGCGAUGGAACGCAGCUUGGCGAUAAAUGGUGACAUGAUAGCAGCGCA
Molecule: long non-coding RNA, 428 nt
Organism: Anopheles merus
Lineage: Eukaryota; Metazoa; Arthropoda; Insecta; Diptera; Culicidae
Exons: 3
Source: RefSeq, a predicted model, not a curated record